AGGAAAAGAAACCAACAGGGAUUGCCUCAGUAGCGGCGAGUGAAGCGGCAAAAGCUCAAAUUUGAAAUCUGGCGUCUUUGGCGUCCGAGUUGUAAUUUGAAGAAGGUAUCUUUGGGCCCGGCUCUUGUCUAUGUUCCUUGGAACAGGACGUCACAGAGGGUGAGAAUCCCGUGCGAUGAGAUGGCCCGGGUCUAUGUAAAGUUCCUUCGACGAGUCGAGUUGUUUGGGAAUGCAGCUCUAAGUGGGUGGUAAAUUCCAUCUAAAGCUAAAUAUUGGCGAGAGACCGAUAGCGAACAAGUACAGUGAUGGAAAGAUGAAAAGAACUUUGAAAAGAGAGUGAAAAAGUACGUGAAAUUGUUGAAAGGGAAGGGCUUGAGAUCAGACUUGGUAUUUUGCAAGUUACUCUUUCGGGGGUGGCCUCUGCGGUUUACCGGGCCAGCAUCGGUUUGGAGCGGUAGGAUAAUGGCGGGGGAAUGUGGCACGACUUUGGUUGUGUGUUAUAGCCUCUGACGAUACUGCCAGCCUAGACCGAGGACUGCGGUUU
RNAcentral lists this ribosomal RNA (544 nucleotides) under Candida dubliniensis. RNAcentral's name for it is "partial large subunit ribosomal RNA". It matches the Rfam family "Eukaryotic large subunit ribosomal RNA", at positions 54 to 603 of the family's 3401-position model. The record is from RNAcentral. Lineage: Eukaryota; Fungi; Ascomycota; Pichiomycetes; Serinales; Debaryomycetaceae.